UUCCAUGAAGCUGGAAUUGCUAGUAAUGGCAGGUCAGCAUACUGCCGUGAAUACGUUCCCGGGCCUUGUACACACCGCCCGUCACACCAUGAGAGUUGGGAAUACCCGAAGCCUGUGAGCUAACUUAUAGAGGCAGCAGUCGAAGGUAGAAUCAAUGAUUGGGGUGAAGUCGUAACAAGGUAGC
RNAcentral lists this ribosomal RNA (184 nucleotides) under uncultured bacterium. RNAcentral describes it as "partial 16S ribosomal RNA". It matches the Rfam family "Bacterial small subunit ribosomal RNA", at positions 1316 to 1500 of the family's 1533-position model. The record is from RNAcentral.